UCUGGUGGCUAUAGCAAGGAGGUCACACCUGUUCCCAUGCCGAACACAGAAGUUAAGCU
This 59-nucleotide ribosomal RNA is filed under the name Staphylococcus aureus. Lineage: Bacteria; Bacillati; Bacillota; Bacilli; Caryophanales; Staphylococcaceae. The record is from RNAcentral.